Molecule: unclassified non-coding RNA, 299 nt
Filed under: plant metagenome
Description: partial contains 5.8S ribosomal RNA, internal transcribed spacer 2, and large subunit ribosomal RNA
Rfam family: 5.8S ribosomal RNA (bases 1-105)
Source: RNAcentral
UAAAUGCGAUAAGUAAUGUGAAUUGCAGAAUUCAGUGAAUCAUCGAAUCUUUGAACGCACAUUGCGCUCGCCAGUAUUCUGGCGAGCAUGCCUGUUCGAGCGUCAUUUCAACCAUCAAGCUCUGCUUGCGUUGGGGAUCCGCGGCUGCCCGCGGUCCCUCAAAAACAGUGGCGGGCUCGCUAGUCACACCGAGCGUAGUAACUCUACAUCGCUAUGGUCGUGCGGCGGGUUCUUGCCGUAAAACCCCCAAUUUCUAAGGUUGACCUCGGAUCAGGUAGGAAUACCCGCUGAACUUAAGC